AAGAGACAGCAGUCGCCGCGGUAAUACGUAGGUCCCGAGCGUUGUCCGGAUUUAUUGGGCGUAAAGCGAGCGCAGGCGGUUAGAUAAGUCUGAAGUUAAAGGCUGUGGCUUAACCAUAGUACGCUUUGGAAACUGUUUAACUUGAGUGCAAGAGGGGAGAGUGGAAUUCCAUGUGUAGCGGUGAAAUGCGUAGAUAUAUGGAGGAACACCGGUGGCGAAAGCGGCUCUCUGGCUUGUAACUGACGCUGAGGCUCGAAAGCGUGGGGCGCAAACAGGAUUAGAUACCCCUGUAGUCCCUGUCUCUUAUACC
Molecule: ribosomal RNA, 310 nt
Filed under: uncultured bacterium
Lineage: Bacteria
Description: partial 16S ribosomal RNA
Rfam family: Bacterial small subunit ribosomal RNA
Source: RNAcentral